This 76-nucleotide transfer RNA is filed under the name Bacillus sp. X2(2017). RNAcentral describes it as "tRNA-Val". It matches the Rfam family "tRNA". Rfam says of the family: Transfer RNA (tRNA) molecules are approximately 80 nucleotides in length. Their secondary structure includes four short double-helical elements and three loops (D, anti-codon, and T loops). The record is from RNAcentral. Lineage: Bacteria; Bacillati; Bacillota; Bacilli; Caryophanales; Bacillaceae.
GGAGGAUUAGCUCAGCGGGGAGAGCAUCUGCCUUACAAGCAGAGGGUCGGCGGUGCGAGCCCGUCAUCCUCCACCA